UUCAGAAUUUUUUUCCACAUGCCGUAACGUAAGUUGUAUAUGAUCGUGGUUAUGGUAAAAAGGGGUUGUGGAUCUAAUCUAUAACGUGAAGGCUAGACCUAGCAAUUAAACAUCUAAAUUUUGAACUCGCACCUUUCAAGCGAUCAUUUGAUAUGAGGAUCAACACGUAGCAGAAGUUCAAUUUCGUCCAAGAUUUGUUUGAAGAAUAUUAAGACUGAGAAGGAUUGAUAAGGAUCUAUGAAACAUGGAGAUUUUUGUUUUUGUUUUUUUCCUAUGAAAUUUGGAUAUAAACACGCACUAAUGUUCUUUUUAGUGUUUACUAGCAUUAUCAUCAUAUGUUGUCGAUAAUUUAUUUUUUUGGCUGAAAUAUAUAAUUUGGUUUUUUCU
This is a long non-coding RNA of Medicago truncatula (barrel medic), 387 nucleotides long. RefSeq lists it as uncharacterized. The transcript has 2 exons. The record is from RefSeq and is a predicted model, not a curated record. NCBI's taxonomy places the organism in Eukaryota, Viridiplantae, Streptophyta, Magnoliopsida, Fabales, Fabaceae.